AACGAACGCUGGCGGCAUGCCUAACACAUGCAAGUCGAACGAGACCUUCGGGUCUAGUGGCGCACGGGUGCGUAACGCGUUGGAACCUGCCUUUAGGUUCGGAAUAACUCAGAGAAAUUUGAGCUAAUACCGGAUGAUGUCUUCGGACCAAAGAUUUAUCGCCUUUAGAUGGGCCCGCGUUGGAUUAGCUAGUUGGUGGGGUAAAGGCCUACCAAGGCGACGAUCCAUAGCUGGUCUGAGAGGAUGAUCAGCCACACUGGGACUGAGACACGGCCCAGACUCCUACGGGAGGCAGCAGUGGGGAAUAUUGGACAAUGGGCGAAAGCCUGAUCCAGCAAUGCAGCGUGAGUGAUGAAGGCCUUAGGGUUGUAAAGCUCUUUUAACCGAGAUGAUAAUGACAGUAUCGGGAGAAUAAGCUCCGGCUAACUCCGUG
This 433-nucleotide ribosomal RNA is filed under the name uncultured bacterium. RNAcentral's name for it is "partial 16S ribosomal RNA". It matches the Rfam family "Bacterial small subunit ribosomal RNA", at positions 29 to 507 of the family's 1533-position model. The record is from RNAcentral.